CUCCAACAUGAAGCUUCUUCAUGUUUUCCUGUUAUUUCUGUGCUUCCACUUAAGGUUUUGCAAGGUCACUUAUACAUCUCAAGAGGAUCUGGUGGAGAAAAAGUGCUUAGCAAAAAAAUAUACUCACCUCUCCUGCGAUAAAGUCUUCUGCCAGCCAUGGCAGAGAUGCAUUGAGGGCACCUGUGUUUGUAAACUACCGUAUCAGUGCCCAAAGAAUGGCACUGCAGUGUGUGCAACUAACAGGAGAAGCUUCCCAACAUACUGUCAACAAAAGAGUUUGGAAUGUCUUCAUCCAGGGACAAAGUUUUUAAAUAACGGAACAUGCACAGCCGAAGGAAAGUUUAGUGUUUCCUUGAAGCAUGGAAAUACAGAUUCAGAGGGAAUAGUUGAAGUAAAACUUGUGGACCAAGAUAAGACAAUGUUCAUAUGCAAAAGCAGCUGGAGCAUGAGGGAAGCCAACGUGGCCUGCCUUGACCUUGGGUUUCAACAAGGUGCUGAUACUCAAAGAAGGUUUAAGUUGUCUGAUCUCUCUAUAAAUUCCACUGAAUGUCUACAUGUGCAUUGCCGAGGAUUAGAGACCAGUUUGGCUGAAUGUACUUUUACUAAGAGAAGAACUAUGGGUUACCAGGAUUUCGCUGAUGUGGUUUGUUAUACACAGAAAGCAGAUUCUCCAAUGGAUGACUUCUUUCAGUGUGUGAAUGGGAAAUACAUUUCUCAGAUGAAAGCCUGUGAUGGUAUCAAUGAUUGUGGAGACCAAAGUGAUGAACUGUGUUGUAAAGCAUGCCAAGGCAAAGGCUUCCAUUGCAAAUCGGGUGUUUGCAUUCCAAGCCAGUAUCAAUGCAAUGGUGAGGUGGACUGCAUUACAGGGGAAGAUGAAGUUGGCUGUGCAGCAGCUAGACAUCCUACAAUUCAAGGCUUUGCAUCUGUGACUCAAGAAGAAACAGAAAUUUUGACUGCUGACAUGGAUGCAGAAAGAAGACGGAUAAAAUCAUUAUUACCUAAACUAUCUUGUGGAGUUAAAAACAGAAUGCACAUUCGAAGGAAACGAAUUGUGGGAGGAAAGCGAGCACAACUGGGAGACCUCCCAUGGCAGGUGGCAAUUAAGGAUGCCAGUGGAAUCACCUGUGGGGGAAUUUAUAUUGGUGGCUGUUGGAUUCUGACUGCUGCACAUUGUCUCAGAGCCAGUAAAACUCAUCGUUACCAAAUAUGGACAACAGUAGUAGACUGGAUACACCCCGACCUUAAACGUAUAGUAAUUGAAUACGUGGAUAGAAUUAUUUUCCAUGAAAACUACAAUGCAGGCACUUACCAAAAUGACAUCGCUUUGAUUGAAAUGAAAAAAGACG
RNAcentral lists this long non-coding RNA (1346 nucleotides) under Homo sapiens (human). Its description in RNAcentral is "long non-coding RNA NONHSAT200284.1". The record is from RNAcentral. Lineage: Eukaryota; Metazoa; Chordata; Mammalia; Primates; Hominidae.